UGCAAGUCGAACGGCAGCGGGGGAAAGCUUGCUUUCCUGCCGGCGAGUGGCGAACGGGUGAGUAAUACAUCGGAACGUGCCCUGUAGUGGGGGAUAACUAGUCGAAAGAUUAGCUAAUACCGCAUACGACCUGAGGGUGAAAGUGGGGGACCGCAAGGCCUCAUGCUAUAGGAGCGGCCGAUGUCUGAUUAGCUAGUUGGUGGGGUAAAGGCCUACCAAGGCGACGAUCAGUAGCUGGUCUGAGAGGACGAUCAGCCACACUGGGACUGAGACACGGCCCAGACUCCUACGGGAGGCAGCAGUGGGGAAUUUUGGACAAUGGGCGAAAGCCUGAUCCAGCAAUGCCGCGUGUGUGAAGAAGGCCUUCGGGUUGUAAAGCACUUUUGUCCGGAAAGAAAUGGCUCUGGUUAAUACCCGGAGUUGAUGACGGUACCGGAAGAAUAAGGACCGGCUAACUACGUGCCAGCAGCCGCGGUAAUACGUAGGGUCCAAGCGUUAAUCGGAAUUACUGGGCGUAAAGCGUGCGCAGGCGGUUGUGCAAGACCGAUGUGAAAUCCCCGGGCUUAACCUGGGAAUUGCAUUGGUGACUGCACGGCUAGAGUGUGUCAGAGGGAGGUAGAAUUCCACGUGUAGCAGUGAAAUGCGUAGAGAUGUGGAGGAAUACCGAUGGCGAAGGCAGCCUCCUGGGAUAACACUGACGCUCAUGCACGAAAGCGUGGGGAGCAAACAGGAUUAGAUACCCUGGUAGUCCACGCCCUAAACGAUGUCAACUAGUUGUUGGGGAUUCAUUUCCUUAGUAACGUAGCUAACGCGUGAAGUUGACCGCCUGGGGAGUACGGUCGCAAGAUUAAAACUCAAAGGAAUUGACGGGGACCCGCACAAGCGGUGGA
Molecule: ribosomal RNA, 890 nt
Filed under: Ralstonia mannitolilytica
Lineage: Bacteria; Pseudomonadati; Pseudomonadota; Betaproteobacteria; Burkholderiales; Burkholderiaceae
Description: bacterial SSU rRNA
Rfam family: Bacterial small subunit ribosomal RNA
Source: RNAcentral